This 804-nucleotide ribosomal RNA is filed under the name Triticum aestivum (bread wheat). Its description in RNAcentral is "partial small subunit ribosomal RNA". The record is from RNAcentral. Lineage: Eukaryota; Viridiplantae; Streptophyta; Magnoliopsida; Poales; Poaceae.
AUGGAUGAUUUAGAUUGCCCAGCAGACGAUUUCGACUUUUGUCGAAUGUGCGAGCUCCCGAUGUAUCAAAAAGAUGACCCCAAAAAGUUCAUGGUCUUUGCAUGCCGUUCGUGUGGACUUGAGAAGCCAUGUGAUUUCCUUUACACUUUGGAGAAGAAGAGGGUCAAUGGGAUCUCAGUACUUCCAGAUGUGAAGGAUCAAGGAGAAAGAGGUAUAUGUGUGCCAACAGCACUGCUGACACUUGUAGAGGCUGAAAUUAAAACUUCUAAAGCUGAGAUGAAUGAAGACUUUAAUCAAGAAUUGUCCCUUGAUGAUCUGUUGAUGGAAUAUAAAGAAGAAGUUGGCGUUGAGGAUGAGGACCAUAAUGUCUCGGACCAUGAUGAUCAUAGAGCAAAGACACUUAUGGAAAUCAUGUUGGAAAGGGGGGUGAACCUCAAAGAUAAUCCCACGGGAGGUGAGUGCUUUAAAGCCCGGGAAGUUCGUCACUUAAAAAACCAGUCAUUCAGUGACUUGGCAGGCUAUAUACUAAAAGGGCAUCCACUGAAGAUUAAAAUGCCAAUCACAAAGAAGUUCUUUAAGUUGAAAGGAAGCGGUGAAAUGUACAUUGGUAUAGCAGGGACUCCAGAUAUGUAUACAAAGGACUCAGUGCAGGUUUGGCACUCGGUUGUCCUUGUUGGAUUUGGAAGAAAGGAAGGGGUUGAAUAUUUCCGAUACAUGAACAGUCAUGGAACCGAGUUUGAUGAUGGUGGGUUCGGUGAUCUGCAGGCAGCUGAGAUAAAGGACCCUUUCCUUAUUGUGAUUUAG